Molecule: ribosomal RNA, 292 nt
Filed under: uncultured bacterium
Lineage: Bacteria
Description: partial 16S ribosomal RNA
Source: RNAcentral
GGACUACCAGGGUUUCUAAUCCUGUUUGCUCCCCACGCUCUCGCGCCUCAGUGUCAGUAUUUGUCCAGGUAGCCGCCUUCGCCACUGGUGUUCCUUCCGAUCUCUACGCAUUUCACCGCUACACCGGAAAUUCCACUACCCUCUGCAAUACUCAAGCUUAUCAGUCAUCGUUGCAGUUCCUAGGUUAAGCCCAGGGAUUUCACAACAAUCUUAACAAACCACCUACGCGCCCUUUACGCCCAGUAAUUCCGAUUAACGCUCGCACCCUCUGUAUUACCGCGGCUGCUGGCAC